UCCUACGGGAGGCAGCAGUAGGGAAUCUUCCACAAUGGACGAAAGUCUGAUGGAGCAAUGCCGCGUGAGUGAAGAAGGGUUUCGGCUCGUAAAACUCUGUUGUUGAAGAAGAACGGGUGUCAGAGUAACUGUUGACAUCGUGACGGUAUUCAACCAGAAAGCCACGGCUAACUACGUGCCAGCAGCCGCGGUAAU
RNAcentral lists this ribosomal RNA (195 nucleotides) under uncultured bacterium. Its description in RNAcentral is "partial 16S ribosomal RNA". It matches the Rfam family "Bacterial small subunit ribosomal RNA", at positions 337 to 524 of the family's 1533-position model. The record is from RNAcentral.